AUUGAACGCUGGCGGCAGGCCUAACACAUGCAAGUCGAGCGAGCGGCGGACGGGUUAGUAAUGUCUGGGAAACUGCCUGAUGGAGGGGGAUAACUACUGGAAACGGUAGCUCAUACCGCAUACCAUCAGAUGUGCCCAGAUGGGAUUCGCUAGUAUGGGGGGUAAUGGCUCACUUAGGCGACGAUCCCUAGCUGGUCUGAGAGGAUGACCAGCCAAACUGGAACUGAGACACGGUCCAGACGCCUACGGGAGGAAGCAGUGGGGAAUAUGGCACAAUGGGCGAAAGCCUGAUGCAGCCAUGCCGCGUGUGUGAAGAAGGCCUUCGGGUUGUAAAGCACUGUCAGCGGGGAGGCGUUACCCGCAGAAGAAGCACCGGCUAACUCCGUGCCAGCAGCCGCGGUAAUUC
This 406-nucleotide ribosomal RNA is filed under the name uncultured bacterium. RNAcentral's name for it is "partial 16S ribosomal RNA". It matches the Rfam family "Bacterial small subunit ribosomal RNA", at positions 30 to 526 of the family's 1533-position model. The record is from RNAcentral.